UACGAACUGUGCAAACGUUAUUCGGAAUCACUGGGCUUAAAGGGUGCGUAGGCGGCUGUCUAAGCAGGGUGUGAAAGCCCCCGGCUCACCCGGGGAUCUGCAUCCCAAACUGCUUGGCUUGAGUACGGGAGAGGAUAGGGGAAUUCCUGGUGUAGCGGUGAAAUGCGUAGAUAUCAGGAGGAACACCGGUGGCGAAGGCGCCUAUCUGGCCCGAUACUGACGCUGAAGCGCGAAAGCUAGGGGAGCAAACGGG
This 253-nucleotide ribosomal RNA is filed under the name uncultured bacterium. RNAcentral describes it as "partial 16S ribosomal RNA". It matches the Rfam family "Bacterial small subunit ribosomal RNA", at positions 524 to 776 of the family's 1533-position model. The record is from RNAcentral.